GAUGAACAACGUAGCGAAAUGCGAUAAGUAAUGUGAAUUGCAGAAUUCAGUGAAUCAUCGAAUCUUUGAACGCACAUUGCGCCCGCCAGUAUUCUGGCGGGCAUGCCUGUCUGAGCGUCAUUUCAACCCUCAUGCCCCUAGGGCGUGGUGUUGGGGAUCGGCCAAAGCCCGCGAGGGACGGCCGGCCCCUAAAUCUAGUGGCGGACCCGUCGUGGCCUCCUCUGCGAAGUAGUGAUAUUCCGCAUCGGAGAGCGAUGAGCCCCUGCCGUUAAACCCCCAACUUUCCAAGGUUGACCUCAGAUCAGGUAGGAAUACCCGCUGAACUUAAGCAUAUCAAUAAGCGGAGGA
Molecule: unclassified non-coding RNA, 348 nt
Filed under: soil metagenome
Description: partial contains 5.8S ribosomal RNA, internal transcribed spacer 2, and large subunit ribosomal RNA
Rfam family: 5.8S ribosomal RNA (bases 1-120)
Source: RNAcentral